CAAAAAAAGACACAUUAUUAAAUAAUAAAAAUAUUAUAGGUGACGCAUUUUUCGGCCUUUAAAACACUACGACUCGAGUAUGGUAUUAGUAUUCUUUAUAAUGGUAUAUAAAAGUUAUUUUAGGUUUGAUUUAUCAGUUUUAAUUACUUCUCAUGAAUGAUUUUCAAUAUUUUAUAUUUUGGGUCAAUAUUUUUUUAUAAUAAAUUCGACGAUUUAUUGUUAUACUCGUAUGAAUAUUUAUUUACUCUAGGUAUAUAAGGAACAAAAUUUUUUACCAGUGCAAGUUGAAGCAAUCACUAGAAUCAUGACAAAAUUACUGAUGGUAUUUGUAAUAACCGCCUUGAUGGCAUAUUUCGCAUUCGCUCUCCCACAGCAAGAGGGAGAACAGCGAGUACCUAGAUAAUAUGAACAUGCUGACCCCAUUAAAAACUGUUUUUAAAUUGGAUGAAAUUUUAAUAAACAGCAUAUAAUAAAGCAUAAAUGUGUUUUAAUA
This is a long non-coding RNA of Tribolium castaneum (red flour beetle), 493 nucleotides long. RefSeq lists it as uncharacterized. Lineage: Eukaryota; Metazoa; Arthropoda; Insecta; Coleoptera; Tenebrionidae. The transcript has 3 exons. The record is from RefSeq and is a predicted model, not a curated record.